Molecule: ribosomal RNA, 515 nt
Filed under: uncultured bacterium
Lineage: Bacteria
Description: partial 16S ribosomal RNA
Rfam family: Bacterial small subunit ribosomal RNA
Source: RNAcentral
GAUGAACGCUGGCGGCGUGCCUAAUACAUGCAAGUCGAGCGAAUGGAUUAAGAGCUUGCUCUUAUGAAGUUAGCGGCGGACGGGUGAGUAACACGUGGGUAACCUGCCCAUAAGACUGGGAUAACUCCGGGAAACCGGGGCUAAUACCGGAUAACAUUUUGAACCGCAUGGUUCGAAAUUGAAAGGCGGCUUCGGCUGUCACUUAUGGAGGGACCCGCGUCGCAUUAGCUAGUUGGUGCGGUAACGGCUCACAAAGGCACCGAUGCGUAGCCGACCUGAGAGGGUGAUCGGCCACACUGGGACUGAGACACGGCCCAGACUCCUACGGGAGGCAGCAGUAGGGAAUCUUCCGCAAUGGACGAAAGUCUGACGGAGCAACGCCGCGUGAGUGAUGAAGGCUUUCGGGUCGUAAAACUCUGUUGUUAGGGAAGAACAAGUGCUAGUUGAAUAAGCUGGCACCUUGACGGUACCUAACCAGAAAGCCACGGCUAACUACGUGCCAGCAGCCGCAGUAA